This is a long non-coding RNA of Toxotes jaculatrix (banded archerfish), 170 nucleotides long. RefSeq lists it as uncharacterized. Lineage: Eukaryota; Metazoa; Chordata; Actinopteri; Toxotidae. The record is from RefSeq and is a predicted model, not a curated record. The transcript is spliced from 3 exons.
CAGGAUGGAGGAGCUGAUCCAGAGGACCAUGAGAAACAAGUGUUCCAGGUGCAGAUUGCCUUUUUCCUCUGGUGGCAUCAGGCAGUAGAGGUCGUCUGACUCCAGUUCAGAUGCAAGGAUCAAGGUCAGAAUCGCUCGUCUCCAGCUGGAAGCACAGGAAAAGGAGAGGG